AAGUGAUUUCCGUUUUUCAUCCGUCAGUUAAUAUCGUUUUCUGUUGUUGAAUUCAGAGUGUCUUUCCUUGGUUUAUUUGUUACGAAAAAUACACGGAUAGUCCCUGCUAUGACAUUGAUCUCGACGGAUUCUCCAACGACACGCAUAACGUAUUUAGCAGUACGCUGACAAAAUAUUUUUUGUUUAGAUACUCUGCAUGAACCUAUUUUGAUUAAGUUUUCCCGUCCCCAAAAUGGAACAAUUCUUGUGUAAUGUGUUAUUGUACAGCUUUUGGAUUUCAUCGAAAUGUUUCUUUUGCCAAUGUACACAUAGAGUGCAGUUUCUUUCAUCAAUGGAGGUUGAUAACGAGGUUUCCAUGACCUACAAAGCUGAUGUAAAGACGCAUGUAACAUCGAGGACACUACACUGUUGUCUGUCGGAGUAAGGAGUACUUUUACAUGACUGUGUGUUGUAUUCAAUUGAACGAACUUGUGUUACAUAAAUCUAUGUAAACUUUAUCAUAACAAUACGAAAAUAGCAUGCGACUGUACAUAGUCGAACCCGACGGGAUGUCGGAAUAAAAAGGGCAAACUUGCACACACGCUCUGGAAAUUGGCAUGCGAUGAACAUUUAAAUCAAUGGUUAAUAAAAAUUACGAAGAAGCUCCAGAAAUUAUUGUUUCUUACUCAGAAGUUUGGUAUAAAGACACACCCUGUGAAUAGACAUGCACAUUACACACACAUGUAAAAGUUUGGAAUAAAGACACACCCUGUGAAUAGACACACAUGUAGUACUUGUUUCUACAUUGAAAGGCCAUUUGAUUUUAAAGUAUGUCAAACGAAACCAAUGCACUCUAGCAUUUGCAGUACUGUGUUCUAAGUAGAUUUCUAUAAAGCAACUAGAACGAAGAGAACGUUCCUUGUUCACGGCAUGUCGGGAGACGACUACAUGUGGUGACAUCACACUAUUCACCAGGUAUGCGGUCCGUGGACCCUACCGUAAUUUUCAUGAUAUUUUGACAUGAAUUCGUUUGGACAAAACCUGUAACACAUGUGUGGAAUUCAAAAGGUGCACAGUGGACUAUGAAAAAGGACGAGCUGGAUUUCAUCAAACAUAGCCAAUUAAGACUGUGUUGUGGCAGCCUUUAGCGGUCUUAGGUAAAGGUAUUCCACUAACCCAUUGCCGAUUCUGAAGCAUAUUCAUACAAGUAUGGAGGACCACAAUACAGUGUCUGUUAGAAUGUUAGAUUUUAUUUUUCACUUCGUGAACAUGUCAGACUGACUUGUUCAUAAAAUGGAUUGAAUUCGAUAUGGUAUGCAUCCAAACUGUAGCAUGCAAACAACCAGUAGAUGUAACAUUUUACUCGAGGUGAGGGUAAGACUGACCAGUCGCUAACGCCGUCAGUGUAGUCGUGGUCAUCUUCGUUGUUGUUUUUGCUGUUUUUCGCCACACUCAACAAAUUUUCAGUUAUCUGGUGACGCCCAGUUUUUUAAUGGUGGAAGAGAGAACCCAAAUACAAUGUAGCUAGGAAGAGACCACCGACCUUCCGAAAGUAAACUGGGAAACCAGUGGCGUAGCUUCCAUUGAGGCAACCGAGGCAGCUGCCUCAGUAAAAAAAAGAACACCUUUUACGUUUUUAAAAUGUCGAUAGCUUCUGGGGGGCUGCGCCCCCCAGACCGCCUGCCUCGGUAAUAUUCGAACCCAAGCUACGCCUAUGGAAACUUUCUCACUUACUGGCGCGAGCGGGAUUCGAACCCGCGCCGACCAGAGGUGAGAGGCCGUGCGAUUUUGUCAUCUUCGUCAGUGAAGGACGAACAUCAAUAUUGUAAGAAUAAGUACACAUCAGGUGCAUGUAGAAACAUGUAGAUAUCAAUUCUAAAGCAAAUAGAUUCUGCUAAAUAUGAAAAACGUUCGUUUCAUUUGAUUGUCCACUAGACGAACAUGCCAGAAAAAAGUAUGCAAAAAUAUUGUAUGAAAAUCUUGCUCCGGUAUCUUGUUUACUUAAUCCAUUUAAUGUUGUAUCUACAUGAUAGAUCAGAAAACUCUUUAAAUCGGCUUUGAAACGACCGGUCGCGGUGGCUCAGUGAUGGAGCGUCCGAUUUUUAACUGGGAGGUUGGGAGUUCGAGCCCCGCGCGUGUCAUGGCUGCGUUAAACCCAAGACAUAAACAUAGCUAGUGAUUGAUCCUUCGCCAAACGCACGGCAUUUAGUGGUGAGAACCAAUGGUCUUUCGGAUAUGACCUUAAAAACGGAGGUAGCGACAAGCGUUGGCACGUUACACAGCCCUCACUGCUACGUCCGUAAGCGUUUUAGCAUGAGGUUUAAAUGUGGCACUUCACCUACAACUGUUGACGCUCGAAAUUGUUCAAUUUUUUCAUUACCAAAAUGCAGCUUUGAAUUAUUCAGCAAAUCUUCUAUUCCUGAUAUCAGAAAUUGGAAUACGCUUAGUGUUCAGACAAGGAAAGCAACUUCUAUUAAAACUUUUUAGAAAUACCCGAUAAACAAUGUUGUAAAACCAUCAAAAUACUUUUAAUAUGAGAAAAGAUUUUUGAAAAUAAUUCACACAGGGUGAGACAUAAUUUUAUUUUAAACUCUGAUUUAUUUCGUUGUAACCUAAUAGACAAACCAAAUUGUUCAUGUGGACUAUCAUAGAAGAUGCGUCUCAUCUAUUUAUUGUGUUUAACAAAACUACAGCAAGACGCUGCUUAAUGAACAAAUUACUUUCAUUCAAUGAUAUAAUAUAUUGAUUGAUUGUAUCUUAUUUAACGUCCCUCUCCAGAAUUUUUCACUCAUAUGGAGACAUCACCAUUGUCGGUAAAGGCCUGCGAAAUUUAGGCCUAUGUUCGGCGCUUGCGGUCUUUGAGCAGGGAGGGAUCUUUAUCGUGUCACACCUGCUGUGACACGGGGUCUCGGUUUUUUCCGGUCUCAUCCGAAGGACCGCCCUAUUUAGUCGCCUCUUACGACAAGCACCUUUCUAACCCAGAUCCCCACGGGACCAAUGAUAUGUACAUUAUACAUGUUCAUCUAAUGCUAGGAAGGAAGGAAUCUCUUUCUGAUGUAAAACUUAUACGGUACCAAUUUUGAUGCACCAGAUGCGCAUUUUGACAAAUAAUGUCUCUUCAGUGAUGCUCAAUACAAAAUUUAGAACUUUACAAGGAUAUUCAACCUUUUCUAAAUAAAUGUAGCUGGGGGUUUUUUUUAGAGAGAGAGAGAGAAAGAUUAAGAACUGUUUUCUAUAAUAUAAUAAUGAUACUACCUGGACACUCUGUAAACACAUAUGGGCCUAAUAGGCUAUACGUGUAUUGUCUUUCUUGGUAUCCGUUGUAGAUUACUAAUAAUGUAUGGCAAUUUUGUAAAUUAUUGUAAUGAGAGAGGACUAUAGAAGUUUUUAAACUUGUACCUAAUCCUUUUCAUGUUUUUGUCAAUAAUAUAUGUGCAAUUCACAGCUGGUGACGUCUCAAUAUGAGUGAAAAAUUCUCGACGGGACGAAAAACAAAUAAAAAUCUUUUAAACUAAAACUUGCUACAGCUACCCAAUGAUAUGUUUUUGUUAUAUGUAAUACAUGUAUAUGGCUAACAAGCAUAUCCUUGGAUUAUAGAAUGCUUUGGAUUGAACAUAUCGUGUACGGCGUGUGUACCAUGUAAAAUUUCGGAUUAGUGGUGUCUAUUUACAGACUUACCAAUACCGGAGUAUGUACCAGAACAAACUACGGACUUACCAAUACCGGAGUAUAUACCAGAACAAACUACGGACUUACCAAUACCGGAGUAUAUACCAGAACAAACUACGGACUUACCAAUACCGAAGCAUAUACUAGAACAAACUACGGACUUACCAAUACCGGAGUAUAUACUAGAACGGACUUACCAAUACCGGAGUAUAUACUAGAACAAACUACGGACUUACCAAUACCGGAGUAUAUACUAGAACGGACUUACCAAUACCGGAGUAUAUACUAGAACAAACUACGGACUUACCAAUACCGGAGUAUAUACCAGAACAAACUACGGACUUACCAAUACCGGAGUAUAUACUAGAACGGACUUACCAAUACCGGAGUAUAUACUAGAACAAACUACGGACUUACCAAUACCGGAGUAUAUACCAGAACAAACUACGGACUUACCAAUACCGGAGCAUAUACUAGAAUGAACUAGGGACUUACCAAUACCGGAGUAUGUACCAGAACAAACUACGGACUUACCAAUACCGAAGUAUAUACCAGAACAAACUACGGACUUACCAAUACCGGAGUAUAUACUAGAACGAACUACGAAUUACUCAAUAGACAUGUUAAAUGCCUCCAGGUAAUUAAAUUUGCUUUGCCUUUUUGCUAUGUGUGCAGCGGUAUUUAAAAGUUGUGUAUUGUGUAAUAAAGUUUUCCGGGUUGCGUGGGUCACAGUGGGCACAGUCACUACUGGGCGGGUGGAAAUUCUGUGCAGGUCCGAUACCAUGCAUCUUAUUCUAACCUUCAAAGUGUGAUAAGAAAAUUAUUUCAUUACAUAACACUCGACAAAACCUUCAAUUUAUUGCAUUGAGUGAGCAAAUAAAGAACAGAUAUGUUAUCCCGCCAACUCGAUUUGAUCUCCGAUGCACAAACAUGCACUGUUUGCAGUUAAAGUUUAUAUGAAGCAGGGGGCACCCUAAGGAUUGCAGGCAACACAGGUGUUUAGAGUUUCAUUAAUUAGGCAACCAUACUUCUUUGUCAAGAAAUUUUCUUCCGUCUGGACCGGCAUUAUUAGAAAUUGUUGGAACACAUUAGUUAUCUCCUUACAUAUAUCUGUUGAAUAAUAUGUCGACAUGCUAGACAGCAUAGUUAUCAUCUUGGUCGGGGAUAUGGAGCAAUUUAUCAAAGGGACUAUAUUUUCGAUGCGCAAUGGGUCGAGAGCAAGCUACAAGGAGUACGACCCUAGUUGACCUUAGAAGAAUCUCUUGUUUUGGAUGAUAUGUGGUGGAGAACAACCUCGUAUAUAACAUUGUUGUCAGCUGACCGCCCAUGAAGUGGGUUCAAAUGUCUCGUACCCCGAGAAUUUGUGCGAGACGAGCCGUAACGACAGGGUAGUACCCCUGAAACGACUGGCAACGUGUAAUUAUUUUCCGUCAACUUCGUCGUAAGAAAAUGGAUAGAAUGAGGACAAAAAUUGAAAAAAUGUAAGCAUGAAAACUAUGCAAUUUUCAUUUGUGUUGUUUUCUGAAAUAUUGCGUUAUGCAAUAAACUUCCGAAAGCUCAAUGAGUUCUCCUCUGCACCAGCUGAUACCAGCGUUUGGGUCGACAUGCAACCUGCUUCAGGACGGAAAUUUGAUUUAACGGGUGAACAAUGUUUGGAUUUCUUUGCUUUUAUCUGCACUUAUUUAAGAAACCUCAAAGCGUCUGUAUAUUCAUUUUGAUAUCCCCCGGCGAUGCUCGAAAAGAUAGUGAUUUUGAUGAAAGUUUAAUAUUUAAUGACUGGUGCUGGGCUCGUUUUCGGACAAGUGGAAAAAACAUAACAUUGAGGACAUUUAAAAGUUGCAAUUGAAGUUUGACAUUUGCAGCUUACGAAGGUCACUUCGUCCGUAAAACCUGCCGAACGUUAACACGAAUAAAAUACAAAAUGUCAAACAUUUCAUGUCAUAAAUCACCCGUAAUAGAGCUAGAUUGUUCCGCCGGUGUACCAUAGUUACCCGGAUAGCAGAAAAACGCCGCACACUAAAGAACUGGCACUUCAAGCCUCUCCGGAAAAUCUGAAGUCAAAGACAAGUCGCAUGAACCCAGACAUGUACAUAUAUUAUUAUGUAAUACAAAAACAAACCAGAGAUCGUGUUGAAAACCGCAAUCAACACUCGACUCGUGCUCUCUGCUGUCUGGCAAUGACAGGGGGUCCAUAGGGGAGGAUUGUGGUCGCUGAAAUGACUUUCAUCUUUAGCCUUCAUUUCCUCUGCUUUACUUCUCUUGUCCAUAUUGCAAAUGUGUGUGUACUAUUUUACAUAUAGUUAGAAUGUAGCGCUCAUCAGAAAUUGAUUUUUUUUUUCAAGAUACGUAUUGGUGUUGCUGUUUGUCAAAUAGACUGUAAUCAUAUUACCAGUACUUUAAGAAAUCAGUGAAGUCUUGCACUCUCUUACAAUAUUUCUGCACCUGUUGGAGGCCCUGCAGAUUACUAUCUUACUAAAAAGUACCAAAACACUGCCCGUGAAUCCUCUUCUUUUGUGUGUUCACUCGUAUUAUUAGAAAACUUUGGACAUUGCGAACUACUCGUCUGUGCAGAGCAAUAAUGUUUUGCUGCUUUUCGUGGAACGAUCAAAUAUACAAGUAUAUGCAUGUUAAAUUUUCUACUCUUCUAAUGACAGUAAGGGAAUUUUCAAUUUUGAAGUGGGUGUAUACACCAAAUCAAGCAAUUCAUCUGGUUUGGUUCUGAUACCUCGCGUUUUGAGAUUAAAAACUGAAAGUUAACAUUUUAAGGUGAAUAACAAUAUAUUUUAACAUUUUCCACCUGUAUAAUUCAUAAAAUAUCGAUCUCUCUUUUAAAGGAAUCAAAUCAUAUAUAUUUACAGACGACAGUUUUGUUAUUCGAACCUUUCUUGCAUAAUGCACUAACCCACGCUUAUCCUGGAAAUCUCCCAGAAUGUUGACAACCUGUUCCUAGAGCUCUCGCGUUGUGACCGGGAGAUCGCGAGUUUGAGCCCUGCUCGUGCCAUGGUCGCGUGAAACCUAGAGUUAUAAUAUGUAGUGACUGUUCCUUCGCUAACCGCUUGACAGAGACGUGAGAAUCACGGGCUUUUCGGUACGGCCCUGAGGGCCAAGGAUAGGUCUAAUUCUAUGGUAUACUCAACAACAUAAGAUAACGUCUCAAUAUGAAUGAAAAAUUCUUACACACGGAGACAGACAGACAGACACACACGCAUAUAUAUAUAUAUAUAUAUAUAUAUAUAUAUAUGUUAGAGCGUUUGCCGCCCUGCUUGCGAAAGGCCAGAGUACGAAUCCUGACCGUGACGGACCCGUUCUACCAGGUAGUGACAGUUCCAUCGCCAAACGCUCAGCAUCAGGUGUGGUUGUCACGGGUCCUCAGAGAUGACCUUAAAAACGGAUGUCCCGUGUCACAGUAGGUGUGGCACGCUAAAGAACCCUCUCUACUCAAUGACCGUUACAAGCGCCGGGCUAAAUCCUAAAUUUGAAGCCCUUCACCGGACUUGGUGACGUCACCACAUGAGUGAAAAAUUCUCCAGACAGACGUUAAACAAGAUACAAUCAAUCAAUAUAUGUAUGUGUAAUUUUUUCUUCUUGUCUAGAUGGUCUAGCGCACUGGUCACACGAUGCUAGGUGAUUUGGUUCCUGCAGGUCCUGAGUUAAAUAUCUCUGUAUAUAUGUGUAUUUCAUAUAUUUGUGUUAUAGACGUCUCCAUAUAAUCAAUCAAUUCUUAUUCUUUACUGGCACUAUUUAAGCACAUGCUUGUUAGCCAUGUAUUAUAAAUUUCAUAUAUAGUGUUACAUGGUAUUAUAAUUGUAACAAUGCUUUGUUUCUAAGGUAUAAAGAAUCUCUGAUAUACAAACAAAUUUCUUUUGUAGACACAAGCUUGAGAGGAUUCAGUAAACAAGAUACAGGAUAGUCAUAUAAUAUUUUUGAAUACGUUUUUCUUAUAUGUUUGUAAGAAGGACUAUCAAGUAAAAAAUGUUUUACAUCUUCAACACUGGUCUUACAAUGGUAGCAAAAUCUGUUUUCUCUAGGAAUGACAGGAUUACAAUAUCUACCUGUUUCUAUAUAUAACUGAUGUGCACUUAUUCUUAGUUUUGUAAGAUGAGAGCGCAGAUUCUGGUUGUUUGUCCUCAUAGUUAGAUAAUGUACUAUAAAAUGAGAGGUUUCC
Ostrea edulis (European flat oyster) is the source of this 7813-nucleotide long non-coding RNA. RefSeq lists it as uncharacterized. The record is from RefSeq and is a predicted model, not a curated record. The transcript has 3 exons. NCBI's taxonomy places the organism in Eukaryota, Metazoa, Mollusca, Bivalvia, Ostreida, Ostreidae.